Molecule: non-coding RNA, 88 nt
Organism: Kwoniella pini CBS 10737
Lineage: Eukaryota; Fungi; Basidiomycota; Tremellomycetes; Tremellales; Cryptococcaceae
Source: the annotation of a GenBank genome assembly
GCCUCUGUGGCGCAGCCGUAGCGCUUUCCACUCGUACCGAUUUUUAACGUCAAUGGAAGGGUCCAGUGUUCAAAUCACUGCUGAGGCA